UAUUACUUUCUUCAUCCCACCCCCCAUCGGUCUCCUCUUUCUCACUUCCAAAUUUUCCCCAAAUUGAAAAGAACAGCCCUAACUCCUUCUGCCUCUCUCAAUCCUUCGGCUGCUACGCCGCCAUGUAGCACCGUUGCCGUCUCGACACCCAAUUGCCGGCGCUCUGCCGUCGGCAUCGUGGUUUCCUCCUCGAUGUCUCGCCGUCUCCACCACAUCACCGUCCUUACCGCCUUCAUCGAGAUCUCUCCCUUCCUCUCGGCUGCAGCACUGGGCAGCCACCACUAUCGCCAGCUAUGGACGGGCGACGAGCCGCUUCACCAGCGUCUUCGCAGAGUCGCCGUCGAUGCUGACUCUGGGGUGAGACACGGCGCCGGACUUCGUCCUCCGGUGACUGAAGUCAGCAGCCGUCGUCUAACUGCACCGCUGCAGCCUGGGAUUCAUCCGGACGCCCCCUCUUCUCGAAGCUAAGUCUCGUAGUUAAGUUCUUAGUUUACAUAUUAGUAUAGAUUUCCAGUUUUGAGCAUUUCGGGGCUUUGUGAUGUUGGAGAUCUUGGCUAAAAUCGAAAGAGCAUGUAUAGGUUUCUUUGAUUUGGUGUUUAACAUUGUACUUGAUUAAGGAAUUUAGGAUUUUAAGUUGUAUGGCUACUGAGUUUGGGUGAAAGGGCAGCAGCCUGUUGUUUCUCUUGGUUCAUUAUGUGUUAAAGCUCUAAGUUUUCCUAUCCUAAGCAUGGUAUCCGAACAAGGCAGGGGUGUGCUAGUGUUUUAAUUGUUCUUCCAUUAUUCUAUAAUGUUGUUAAGAUUUGAAAUGGUGGUGCCUAGUACUUAGUUAAUAAAUGGAAUUGUUUGUUGUGGCAGGUGCAUAGGCAUAAUGCAGGUGCUGCUAUGAGAAAUGGAGGUUGUAGGAUUUGACUUGCUCUCUUUGGCAAGGUCUUGAAAGAAAAAUGCCGAUGGGUUGGCUGCAUCUGCUCAACGGGCUGCCCGAGACAUUGGGCCGAAAAGGCUCUUGGGCUCAUGAACAAAAGGCCCGUCAUAUGUAUUUUGUAUUUCGUGGAUCAUAUGUAUAGUGACUUGAACAACAUACUUAGUUCUAGUUGUUCAUGUUCAAUUGUAUAUGUUUUUGAAGUGUUAAAUCUUAGCUCCGAUAUGUAUAUGGAUUCUAUAUCAAGACAGGGACCUCAUAUCUUUUAUGUGUUAUUAAAGUCAAUAACUUCGUAUUCA
Salvia splendens (bonfire salvia) is the source of this 1218-nucleotide long non-coding RNA. RefSeq lists it as uncharacterized. The transcript is spliced from 2 exons. The record is from RefSeq and is a predicted model, not a curated record. Lineage: Eukaryota; Viridiplantae; Streptophyta; Magnoliopsida; Lamiales; Lamiaceae.